CAUCUUUUCUUGUUAGUUUUUGAAGUAUGGCCUGCCCACUGACUUAGAGUUGAAGGGCCGCGGUAUUUUGACCGUGCAAAGGUAGCAUAAUCAUUAGUUCUUUAAUUGUGAUCUGGUAUGAAUGGCUUGACGAGACAUAAGCUGUCUUAGAAGUAUUGAUUUAUUGAAUUUGGUUUUUGAGUUAAAAUUCUUAAAUGUUUUUAUGGGACGAGAAGACCCUAUAGAGUUUGACAAUUUUCCUAUUUAUUCGUUGUUUGUUUUAUUUACAUUGAGUGGGAGUGAAUUGUUUUGUUGGGGUGAUGGGAGGAAUAUUGUUUAACUCCUCUUUAUUUUUAUAUAUUUAUGUAUAUAUUUUUGAUCCAUUUAUUUUGAUUAUAAGAUUAAAUUACCUUA
Molecule: ribosomal RNA, 393 nt
Filed under: Nasutitermes ephratae
Lineage: Eukaryota; Metazoa; Arthropoda; Insecta; Blattodea; Termitidae
Description: partial 16S ribosomal RNA
Source: RNAcentral